AGGGAAGUGGUCUACAGUCACUCUCUGGAGAAGGGAGGUUGUGUUUAGGGCUAUAGAGGACCGGCCUUAAGAAACUGUAAGAAUUCAGACAGACAAAGAAGGAGCUGAAGCACAGACAGCUGGCUUAAGCAAUUCACUGCAAGAAAAAUCGUUGGAGUUACUUGGACCAAUGGAUCACCAAUAACAAGAAAUGGCCUACAGUUUAAGCAAUGUAUGAUGGCUGUUCGCAGGCUUCACUGCCUGGGACAUGUGGAGC
Long non-coding RNA from Mauremys mutica (yellowpond turtle), 256 nucleotides. RefSeq lists it as uncharacterized. Lineage: Eukaryota; Metazoa; Chordata; Testudines; Geoemydidae. The transcript has 3 exons. The record is from RefSeq and is a predicted model, not a curated record.